AGUGAACGCUGGCGGUAGGCCUAACACAUGCAAGUCGAACGGCAGCACAGUAAGAGCUUGCUCUUACGGGUGGCGAGUGGCGGACGGGUGAGGAAUACAUCGGAAUCUACUUUUUCGUGGGGGAUAACGUAGGGAAACUUACGCUAAUACCGCAUACGACCUACGGGUGAAAGCAGGGGAUCUUCGGACCUUGCGCGAUUGAAUGAGCCGAUGUCGGAUUAGCUAGUUGGCGGGGUAAAGGCCCACCAAGGCGACGAUCCGUAGCGGGUCUGAGAGGAUGAUCAGCCACACUGGAACUGAGACACGGUCCAGACUCCUACGGUAGGAAGCAGUGGGGAAUAUUGGACAAGGCGGGCAAGGCUGAUCCAGGCAUACCGCGUGGGGGAAGAAGGACUUCUGGUUGGAAAGCCCUUUAGUUGUUAAAGAAAAGCAGCAGGUUAAUACCCCGCUGUUCUGACGGUAGCCAAAGAAUAAGCACCGGCUAACUUCGUG
Molecule: ribosomal RNA, 492 nt
Filed under: uncultured bacterium
Lineage: Bacteria
Description: partial 16S ribosomal RNA
Rfam family: Bacterial small subunit ribosomal RNA
Source: RNAcentral